CUGUUAGGGACUUCCUCAGGGACAAUCUUUCACAAAGAUGAUGAAUAAAAAUACAUACAUACACGUUAUAUGUAUUUUUAUUCAUCAUCUUUGUGAAAGAUUGUCCCUGAGGAAGUCCCUAACAG
This 125-nucleotide microRNA precursor is filed under the name Pelobates cultripes (western spadefoot toad). The record is from RNAcentral. Lineage: Eukaryota; Metazoa; Chordata; Amphibia; Anura; Pelobatidae.